GCAGAUUUCAUGCAGUUUCUGUUCCCUCUCUCUCACAUGGGUACGUAGGUGUCCACGUCGUCAUGGGUGGAUGGUUACAGGAGCCCAACGUCCACCGCCCAACGCAUAUUUUCGCACCGCUUAACUGUUGCUCGUGACUUCUCUAUGCUGAUCGACCGACUAAACUUAAGCAGCUAUAUGUACUUGUCACGAGGUUUGUUACAGAAGCCCGACCACAAUUCUUAAUUAGCAAGGUAACUUUUUGCGUUCGAUCUUCUCACCAACUAUCAAGUAAGUACAAAAACACACUGGAAGGGCCUACAAGUGAAGUCCUCCUGCGAGCAAGGGCAGGAUCAAUCACUUCUCCGUGGCAGAUGAGGCAGAUCGGCAGCGGCGCCGACGGGAGGCAGGAGCCCGUUCAUGGCAAUUAGGUAGCUAAGUUAAUUGAAGUCACUCAAUUGGAGUGUCACGCCAUCUGAGCUUGGCAAGCAAGUUGAUCAUGGCUCACAUCAAGUAGUACUAGCCAGUCCAUUAAUAAUAGUUUACUAGUAUUGACUUUUUAGAGAUGGUGGCUUGGCAUGUUCAUGGUCUGGUGGUACUACUGAGGAAGAAUAAUAUAAAAGCAUUUCUGAA
Triticum dicoccoides is the source of this 612-nucleotide long non-coding RNA. RefSeq lists it as uncharacterized. NCBI's taxonomy places the organism in Eukaryota, Viridiplantae, Streptophyta, Magnoliopsida, Poales, Poaceae. The transcript has 2 exons. The record is from RefSeq and is a predicted model, not a curated record.